CGGCCGCGUCGACCGUGUGAUCCAGAGAAGGGACGGGACUAACGCCGAUAUGCUUUGGGGAGCUGUAAGUAAGCUGUGAUCCAGAGAUUUCCGAAUGGGGAAACCCAGCACCUUUGAUAGGGUGUUACUGCUUACUUACAGCUCCCCGAUGAGGACGGGUACUAACGCCGAUAUGCUUUAGGGGAGACUGUAAGUAAGCUGUGAUACCAGAGAAUUUCCGAAUGGGGAAACCCAGACACCGUUUGAGUAGGGUAGUUAACUCGACUGUAACGUGAAUACUAUAGGGUUCACGGUAGAGGUAGACGACAGAGUAACUGAAAACUGUACGUAAGUACUGACGAGGAACGAGAAAGAAAACUUCGAAUUCCCGUAGACGUACGCGGACCGAGACGUAAACGGGAAAACGACCCAAACCGAAGAAACGUCUUAGUACGUUUCGUGGGGUUAGUACGGUACUACGUAACCACGUAAGUACGACGUACUAAUUAAACGUUACGAACGGUAGUAAACGACGUAACGUACGAACCGUACGGAAACGGUUCCCGAACCGUAAAACGGUAACGGGUAAAACCGUCCCCGGUAAACGUACCGGUAAACCCCGUUACACCGUACGUGAACUACGAGUACUCCGUAGUAACGGUUACGGACGGUAACUACGGUAAGUUAAACGUUCCGUACGGUAACGUCCGGGACGGAACUUCCG
This 703-nucleotide unclassified non-coding RNA is filed under the name uncultured Carnobacterium sp. Its description in RNAcentral is "partial contains 16S ribosomal RNA, 16S-23S ribosomal RNA intergenic spacer, and 23S ribosomal RNA". The stretch from base 24 to 143 matches the Rfam family "Bacterial large subunit ribosomal RNA", at positions 47 to 179 of the family's 2925-position model. Lineage: Bacteria; Bacillati; Bacillota; Bacilli; Lactobacillales; Carnobacteriaceae. The record is from RNAcentral.